AUACGUAGGACCCGAGCGUUGUCCGGAUUUACUGGGUAUAAGGGGGCGGAAGCAGGUUAUUAAGGCAGGGGGUAAAAGCCGGGGCUCAAAUGGGGAGCUGGCCUUUAAACUGAUAAAACUGAAUAUGAGAAGGGGUGAUAGAAUUUCCGGUGUAAGCGUUAAAUGCGUAGAUAUCAGGAGGAAUACCGGUGGCGAAGGCGGUCAUCUGGCUCAUUAUUGACGCUGAAGCACGAAAGCGUAGGUAGCGAACAGGAUUAGAUACCCUGGUAGUCUACGCUGUAAACGAUGUAUGCUUGGUGUUAUGCGUUUAUGCGCGUAGUGCCGUAGGAAAUCUGGUAAGCAUACCACCUGGGGAGUACGAAUGCAAGUUUGAAACUCAAAUGAAUUGACGGGG
RNAcentral lists this ribosomal RNA (394 nucleotides) under uncultured bacterium. Its description in RNAcentral is "partial 16S ribosomal RNA". It matches the Rfam family "Bacterial small subunit ribosomal RNA", at positions 523 to 918 of the family's 1533-position model. The record is from RNAcentral.